Molecule: ribosomal RNA, 310 nt
Filed under: uncultured prokaryote
Description: bacterial SSU rRNA
Rfam family: Bacterial small subunit ribosomal RNA
Source: RNAcentral
AGAUUGAACGCUGGCGGCAUGCCUAACACAUGCAAGUCGAGCGGCAGCGCGGGGGCGACCCUGGCGGCGAGCGGCGGACGGGUGAGUAAGGCAUCGGAAUCUGCCCUGAUGUGGGGAUAACGCAGCGAAAGUGGUGCUAAUACCGGAUACGCUCCUCUGGUCGCAUGGCCGGAGGAGGGAAGGGGAAACCCGCAGGAGGAGGGCUCGCGGCCCAUUAAUGGCGCACCAAGGCGACGAUGGGUAGCCGGCCUGAGAGGGUGAACGGCCACACUGGGACUGAGAUACGGCCCAGACUCCUACGGGAGGCAGC